RNAcentral lists this non-coding RNA (30 nucleotides) under Rattus norvegicus (Norway rat). Lineage: Eukaryota; Metazoa; Chordata; Mammalia; Rodentia; Muridae. The record is from RNAcentral.
UCCCUCAGUAGGUGCCCCCCAGGAAGGUAU